CCUACGGGUGGCAGCAGUGGGGGAUAUUGCACAAUGGGGGGAACCCUGAUGCAGCGACGCCGCGUGUGGGAAGACGGUCCUCUGGAUUGUAAACCACUGUCCCCAGGGACGAAAAUGACGGUACCUGGGGAGGAAGCUCCGGCUAACUACGUGCCAGCAGCCGCGGUAAUACGUAGGGAGCGAGCGUUGUCCGGAAUUACUGGGUGUAAAGGGAGCGUAGGCGGGGAUGCAAGUUGGGUGUCAAAACUACCGGCUCAACUGGUAGUCGCACUCAAAACUGCAGCUCUUGAGUGAAGUAGAGGCAGGCGGAAUGCCUAGUGUAGCGGUGAAAUGCGUAGAUAUUAGGAGGAACACCAGUGGCGAAGGCGGCCUGCUGGGCUUUUACUGACGCUGAGGCUCGAAAGUGUGGGGAGCAAACAGGAUUAGAUAAGUC
RNAcentral lists this ribosomal RNA (433 nucleotides) under uncultured bacterium. RNAcentral describes it as "partial 16S ribosomal RNA". It matches the Rfam family "Bacterial small subunit ribosomal RNA", at positions 338 to 786 of the family's 1533-position model. The record is from RNAcentral.